RNA transcript from Cimex lectularius (bed bug), 981 nucleotides. RefSeq lists it as uncharacterized. The transcript has 6 exons. The record is from RefSeq and is a predicted model, not a curated record. Lineage: Eukaryota; Metazoa; Arthropoda; Insecta; Hemiptera; Cimicidae.
UCUAUCUGGAAGGCAUAGUGGUCAAGCAGAUGAUAUUCUUCUGUACUGAAAUAUUUAAAAACUGAAGUAAAAAGAUGGUAAUAAACGAAAAUUUAAAAAACUACAUUAAAACCUUUUCAAAACUUUUAAGAAAUAAGAAGUUCUACCUUUAUUACAAUACAAGUUCAAGUGUAAUUCUUCGAAACGGUGAGUUAAAACUGUACAAAAAGGUUCUGCAAGAGAAAUUAAAAAAGCGAUUCAAUAACUUAGAAGUGAAGAUAAAACAACGCGCUUGUAGUUUUUAUCAAGAAUGUGAAAAAAUACGAAGCAGAAUUCUUAACAUUGAAUACUAGAAGAGUUAAAGUUAUUCUUUUGUGCAUAUUGAAAGGAAAUUUCGACUUUGUAAAAAUCGUACAAGAAGCCAUUAACUUUGCUUUAAAUUGCAUUUUUAAACCUUUUAAGCCGGUUCAAAUUUAUUUCAAAAGGAUUUUAGGCGAUGUUUUAAAAGAUAACAUAUUAAAUAAAACGAACUUUGAAGGCAUUUCCCUAGAUUACGCCCAUCCCAAAAUUUCUUCUUGCAAAAUUAAAGCAACUCUUCCACAGCCGAUUCUCAAUGCCGCCACUGUGAAGAUCUUUAAACAAAUACAAAAAUCAAAGGAGGAAAAAAUAGAAUCCUUUUUUAACAGUGUAACUGAACACCUGACUCAAACUUACGGAAUCGAUUUACAUCAAUUUUGCAUAACUGCAUUGACAUAUUCAAAUCACUUUAUACAACUCAAUAGCAAAAAUACUUUUGAGAUGAAAGCCGUAUCAGACAAUGUACCAUACACAGUCAUAAGUUCAGUAUGGGAGCUGUUGACCAGAAAAGAAUCUAUGUGAUUAAAUAAUAUCUUCUGAAAAAUUCAAAUACAUUCAGAGAAGAGAUUUUUCACAAACUGAACGCUUUUCUUUAAAAAGUUUGUACAUUUUUUAUUAUAUAAUAAUAAAUGGCUUUUUUAUUUA